This 253-nucleotide ribosomal RNA is filed under the name uncultured bacterium. RNAcentral's name for it is "partial 16S ribosomal RNA". It matches the Rfam family "Archaeal small subunit ribosomal RNA", at positions 474 to 727 of the family's 1478-position model. RNAcentral also lists the same sequence under 1 other name. The record is from RNAcentral.
AACCAGCACCUCAAGUGGUCAGGAUGAUUAUUGGGCCUAAAGCAUCCGUAGCUCGUUUUGUAAGUUUUCGGUUAAAUCCAUGCGCUUAACGUAUGGGCUGCCGGGAAUACUGCAUAACUAGGAAGUGGGAGAGGUAGACGGUACUCGGUAGGAAGGGGUAAAAUCCUUUGAUCUAUUGAUGACCACCUGUGGCGAAGGCGGUCUACCAGAACACGUUCGACGGUGAGGGAUGAAAGCUGGGGGAGCAAACCGG